This 397-nucleotide ribosomal RNA is filed under the name uncultured organism. Its description in RNAcentral is "bacterial SSU rRNA". It matches the Rfam family "Bacterial small subunit ribosomal RNA", at positions 45 to 433 of the family's 1533-position model. The record is from RNAcentral.
UGCUUAACACAUGCAAGUCGAACGGCAACACGGUUCUGUACUUGAUACGGAGCUGGUGGCGAGUGGCGAACGGGUGAGUAACGCGUAGGAAUAUGCCUUAAAGAGUGGGACAACUUGAGGAAACUCAAGCUAAUACCGCAUAAGCUCUGAGGAGGGAAGCUGGGGACCGAAAGGCCUGGCGCUUUAAGAAUAGCCUGCGUCCGAUUAGCUAGUUGGUGGGGUAAGGGCCUACCAAGGCGACGAUCGGUAGCUGGUCUGAGAGGAUGGCCAGCCACACUGGGACUGAGACACGGCCCAGACUCCUACGGGAGGCAGCAGUGGGGAAUAUUGGACAAUGGGGGGAACCCUGAUCCAGCAAUGCCGCGUGUGUGAAGAAGGCCUGAGGGUUGUAAAGCAC